Molecule: non-coding RNA, 28 nt
Filed under: Mus musculus (house mouse)
Lineage: Eukaryota; Metazoa; Chordata; Mammalia; Rodentia; Muridae
Source: RNAcentral
UUGAUGCCCAUGUAGCAAUGCAGACCUA